GCGAGCAUGAACUUGCAUUAUAACGGAUUUUAGGUUUCCCUUGUUAAGUUUGGUAUUAUGAAUAGAUUUGUUAAGGAAUUAUGAUUUAACUGUCGCAUCCGCUCUCUUGAACUACUUAUCUUUCUUGAUUGGCUUUAUCUUGAUGAUAUCUACUGAUCGAUCAUCUUUUGAAACGGACAUGAAGUUAACAAUGCAGUUGGUCGCUUUGAUCCCUGAAGCUAUCUUUUGACAGUUGAUGCAUAAGGUUUUCUCUUUUCAUAGAUCUGGUUUGGUGUGAAAAACAGAAACUGUGUUGUUCUUGAAUUUUGUUAAAAGAUAAUGUGUUUUGUGAAGUGAUGCUCAGAUCAGUGUUGAUGAGAGACCAAAGAUCCUUGUUCCUGCUUGCUGAAAAAAUCAGGUAAAUAUUUUAUUUUUAAGCGCGAGCUAUACCAAAGGCAUUGUUACAUACCAGAUAUCCAUGUACCUGGAAACCGAUGGAUUUCUGCCACAAUCGUCAUGGGAAGUCAUGAUUUUCUGUGAACAAUACAGUCAAACUGUCUUAUAACAAGCGUAUAGGGACCACAAAAUUUGCUUGUUAUAA
Molecule: long non-coding RNA, 580 nt
Organism: Uloborus diversus
Lineage: Eukaryota; Metazoa; Arthropoda; Arachnida; Araneae; Uloboridae
Exons: 4
Source: RefSeq, a predicted model, not a curated record